AUUUCAAGACACUAUACGUAUAUUGUUUUUAUACUGAAAUCGAUAAAAAAUUAAAAAAAUAAAAAAUAUGUAACAAAUAUUGUUAAAAAAAAGUGUUUUGGAAUUUCCCUCUUGGGGGUACCAUUUUGGGUUAUUUCCCUAUGAGCGUAGUCCAGGCGGUAAGACAUUGAAAUUUUAAGAAAUAAGAAAGGGAAAAUGAACUUAAUUAAUAACAUUUGAUACACAUGGUAUAAAAUUAACAAUUUGAAGAUAUAACAAGUUUAAAUACAUAAAAGUUUGACCAUUGUUACUACACGUUGUCAUGGUUGUGACGUGAUGUUGUUGAUGAAAUACAGUAGUUCCGGUUAGUAGGCGGGGCUUAUAGGUUAGUUGAGGUCAUUGACGUAUAAAGCUAACGUUUAUACGUAUAGCUUUAUCUGUAUAGUAAAAUAGCUGAUUGCAGUAUAAUGAAUCUUAAUCCGUAGGUUUAUCAUUACUGUUUGUAUUUAUAUUUUUGUUAUAUUAUUAUACUCUUAUAUGGAAUUAAGUGCUUUUUAUGAACUGAUUACUACUGGUUGUUUUGUUUUG
RNAcentral lists this long non-coding RNA (567 nucleotides) under Mytilus galloprovincialis (Mediterranean mussel). Lineage: Eukaryota; Metazoa; Mollusca; Bivalvia; Mytilida; Mytilidae. The record is from RNAcentral.